GACGAACGCUGGCGGCGCGCUUAACACAUGCAAGUCGAACGGAAAGGCCUGCUUUCCCUUGUGGAUUGCGGGUACUCGAGUGGCGAACGGGUGAGUAACACGUGAGUGAUCUGCCCCCAACUUGGGUAUAAGCCUGGGAAACUGGGUCUAAUUCCCGAUAGGACUGCAGGGUGGUGCCUGUGGUGGAAAACGAUUUUCUAGUGGUUGGGGAUGAGCUCGCGGCCUAUCAGCUUGUUGGUGGGGUAAUGGCCUACCAAGGCGGCGACGGGUAGCCGGCCUGGGAGGGGGGAGGGCCACUUUGGGAGUGGGAUACGGCCCAGACCCCUACGGGGGGGAGCGGUGGGGAAUAUUGCACAAGGGGGGGAAGCCUGAUGAAGGGACGGCGGGGGGGGGAUGGCGGCCUUCGGGUUUUAAACCCCUUUCGACCGGGAGGAAGCCACCUGGUUGGAAGGGUGGUGACGGUAGUGGUAGAAGGAGCCCCGGCUAACUACGU
RNAcentral lists this ribosomal RNA (493 nucleotides) under uncultured bacterium. Its description in RNAcentral is "partial 16S ribosomal RNA". It matches the Rfam family "Bacterial small subunit ribosomal RNA", at positions 28 to 506 of the family's 1533-position model. The record is from RNAcentral.